GUUUUGAUAAUUUAAUUUAAAAUAUUGAUCUUGUAAAUCAAACUUGAGGAAACUCUCAAAACU
RNAcentral lists this transfer RNA (63 nucleotides) under Cantharidae sp. GENSP01. RNAcentral describes it as "tRNA-Thr". The record is from RNAcentral. Lineage: Eukaryota; Metazoa; Arthropoda; Insecta; Coleoptera; Cantharidae.